This 513-nucleotide ribosomal RNA is filed under the name Diutina catenulata. RNAcentral describes it as "eukaryotic LSU rRNA". It matches the Rfam family "Eukaryotic large subunit ribosomal RNA", at positions 35 to 664 of the family's 3401-position model. The record is from RNAcentral. Lineage: Eukaryota; Fungi; Ascomycota; Pichiomycetes; Serinales; Debaryomycetaceae.
UUUGCAUAUUCAAAAAGCGGAGGAAAAGAAACCAACCGGGAUUGCCUCAGUAACGGCGAGUGAAGCGGCAAAAGCUCAAAUUUGAAAUCCUUCGGGAGUUGUAAUUUGUAGAGGGGUGUCUUUGGGGCGGCAUUGUCUAUGUUCCUUGGAACAGGACGUCACAGAGGGUGAGAAUCCCGUGCGAUGAUGCCUCAACCAGUACAAGACCCUCUCGACGAGUCGAGUUGUUUGGGAAUGCAGCUCUAAGUGGGUGGUAAAUUCCAUCUAAAGCUAAAUACUGGCGAGAGACCGAUAGCGAACAAGUACAGUGAUGGAAAGAUGAAAAGCACUUUGAAAAGAGAGUGAAACAGUACGUGAAAUUGUUGAAAGGGAAGGGUAGGAGGUGAGGGGAAGAGCUGCUUAGGCGCGGGAGAUAAACAAGCAGGAAGCGCUUCGGUGCGGCCUGGUAAAUAUCCCGUGCUUGUGUGGUUCUUCCGUAAUCCCCUUCUACCGCCCGUCUUGAACACGGGACCA